AUCUAUUCUCAGGGCGGGGCGAAAUUCCCCACCGGCGGUAAGUCAUCAUGAUAAGCCCGCGAGCGCUGAUACUGAGUAUCAGGGUCAGCAGAUCUGGUGUGAAUCCAGAGCCGACGGUUAUAGUCCGGAUGGGAGAGGAUAAGU
Molecule: non-coding RNA, 144 nt
Filed under: Vibrio variabilis
Lineage: Bacteria; Pseudomonadati; Pseudomonadota; Gammaproteobacteria; Vibrionales; Vibrionaceae
Description: FMN sequence
Rfam family: FMN riboswitch aptamer (RFN element)
About the family: The RFN element is a highly conserved domain that is found frequently in the 5'-untranslated regions of prokaryotic mRNAs that encode for flavin mononucleotide (FMN) biosynthesis and transport proteins.
Source: RNAcentral